Molecule: ribosomal RNA, 2236 nt
Filed under: Salmonella enterica subsp. enterica serovar Enteritidis
Lineage: Bacteria; Pseudomonadati; Pseudomonadota; Gammaproteobacteria; Enterobacterales; Enterobacteriaceae
Description: partial 23S ribosomal RNA
Rfam family: Bacterial large subunit ribosomal RNA
Source: RNAcentral
UGGGCGUUAAGUUGCAGGGUAUAGACCCGAAACCCGGUGAUCUAGCCAUGGGCAGGUUGAAGGUUGGGUAACACUAACUGGAGGACCGAACCGACUAAUGUUGAAAAAUUAGCGGAUGACCUGUGGCUGGGGGUGAAAGGCCAAUCAAACCGGGAGAUAGCUGGUUCUCCCCGAAAGCUAUUUAGGUAGCGCCUCGUGAAUUCAUCUCCGGGGGUAGAGCACUGUUUCGGCUAGGGGGCCAUCCCGGCUUACCAACCCGAUGCAAACUGCGAAUACCGGAGAAUGUUAUCACGGGAGACACACGGCGGGUGCUAACGUCCGUCGUGAAGAGGGAAACAACCCAGACCGCCAGCUAAGGUCCCAAAGUCAUGGUUAAGUGGGAAACGAUGUGGGAAGGCCCAGACAGCCAGGAUGUUGGCUUAGAAGCAGCCAUCAUUUAAAGAAAGCGUAAUAGCUCACUGGUCGAGUCGGCCUGCGCGGAAGAUGUAACGGGGCUAAACCAUGCACCGAAGCUGCGGCAGCGACACUGUGUGUUGUUGGGUAGGGGAGCGUUCUGUAAGCCUGUGAAGGUGUGUCGUGAGGCAUGCUGGAGGUAUCAGAAGUGCGAAUGCUGACAUAAGUAACGAUAAAGCGGGUGAAAAGCCCGCUCGCCGGAAGACCAAGGGUUCCUGUCCAACGUUAAUCGGGGCAGGGUGAGUCGACCCCUAAGGCGAGGCCGAAAGGCGUAGUCGAUGGGAAACGGGUUAAUAUUCCCGUACUUGGUGUUACUGCGAAGGGGGGACGGAGAAGGCUAUGUUGGCCGGGCGACGGUUGUCCCGGUUUAAGCGUGUAGGUGUGUGUUCCAGGUAAAUCCGGUUCACUUUAACACUGAGGCGUGACGACGAGGCACUACGGUGCUGAAGCAACAAAUGCCCUGCUUCCAGGAAAAGCCUCUAAGCAUCAGGUAACAUCAAAUCGUACCCCAAACCGACACAGGUGGUCAGGUAGAGAAUACCAAGGCGCUUGAGAGAACUCGGGUGAAGGAACUAGGCAAAAUGGUGCCGUAACUUCGGGAGAAGGCACGCUGACACGUAGGUGAAGUGAUUUACUCAUGGAGCUGAAGUCAGUCGAAGAUACCAGCUGGCUGCAACUGUUUAUUAAAAACACAGCACUGUGCAAACACGAAAGUGGACGUAUACGGUGUGACGCCUGCCCGGUGCCGGAAGGUUAAUUGAUGGGGUCAGCGCAAGCGAAGCUCCUGAUCGAAGCCCCGGUAAACGGCGGCCGUAACUAUAACGGUCCUAAGGUAGCGAAAUUCCUUGUCGGGUAAGUUCCGACCUGCACGAAUGGCGUAAUGAUGGCCAGGCUGUCUCCACCCGAGACUCAGUGAAAUUGAACUCGCUGUGAAGAUGCAGUGUACCCGCGGCAAGACGGAAAGACCCCGUGAACCUUUACUAUAGCUUGACACUGAACAUUGAGCCUUGAUGUGUAGGAUAGGUGGGAGGCUUUGAAGUGUGGACGCCAGUCUGCAUGGAGCCGACCUUGAAAUACCACCCUUUAAUGUUUGAUGUUCUAACGUGGACCCGUUACCCGGGUUGCGGACAGUGUCUGGUGGGUAGUUUGACUGGGGCGGUCUCCUCCUAAAGAGUAACGGAGGAGCACGAAGGUUGGCUAAUCCUGGUCGGACAUCAGGAGGUUAGUGCAAUGGCAUAAGCCAGCUUGACUGCGAGCGUGACGGCGCGAGCAGGUGCGAAAGCAGGUCAUAGUGAUCCGGUGGUUCUGAAUGGAAGGGCCAUCGCUCAACGGAUAAAAGGUACUCCGGGGAUAACAGGCUGAUACCGCCCAAGAGUUCAUAUCGACGGCGGUGUUUGGCACCUCGAUGUCGGCUCAUCACAUCCUGGGGCUGAAGUAGGUCCCAAGGGUAUGGCUGUUCGCCAUUUAAAGUGGUACGCGAGCUGGGUUUAGAACGUCGUGAGACAGUUCGGUCCCUAUCUGCCGUGGGCGCUGGAGAACUGAGGGGGGCUGCUCCUAGUACGAGAGGACCGGAGUGGACGCAUCACUGGUGUUCGGGUUGUCAUGCCAAUGGCACUGCCCGGUAGCUAAAUUCGGAAGAGAUAAGUGCUGAAAGCAUCUAAGCACGAAACUUGCCCCGAGAUGAGUUCUCCCUGAGACUUAGAGUCUCCUGAAGGAACGUUGAAGACGACGACGUUGAUAGGCCGGGUGUGUAAGCGCAGCGAUGCGUUGAGCUAACCGGUAC